GGCGGCAGGCUUAACACAUGUCAAGCUCGAGCCGGUAGCACAGGGGAGCUUGCUCCCUGGGUGACGAGCGGCGGACGGGUGAGUAAUGUCUGGGAAACUGCCUGAUGGAGGGGGAUAACUACUGGAAACGGUAGCUAAUACCGCAUAACGUCGCAAGACCAAAGAGGGGGACCUUCGGGCCUCUUGCCAUCAGAUGUGCCCAGAUGGGAUUAGCUAGUAGGUGGGGUAAUGGCUCACCUAGGCGACGAUCCCUAGCUGGUCUGACAGGAUGACCAGCCACACUGGAACUGAGACACGGUCCAGACUCCUACGGGAGGCAGCAGUGGGGAAUAUUGCACAAUGGGCGCAAGCCUGAUGCAGCCAUGCCGCGUGUGUUAAGAAGGCCUUCGGGUUUUAAAGCACUUUCAGCGAGGAGGAAGGUGGUGAACUUAAUACGUUCAUCAAUUGACGUUACUCGCAGAAGAAGCACCGGCUAACUCCGUGCCAGCAGCCGCGGUAAUACGGAGGGUGCAAGCGUUAAUCGGAAUUACUGGGCGUAAAGCGCACGCAGGCGGUUUGUUAAGUCAGAUGUGAAAUCCCCGGGCUCAACCUGGGAACUGCAUUUGAAACUGGCAAGCUAGAGUCUCGUAGAGGGGGGUAGAAUUCCAGGUGUAGCGGUGAAAUGCGUAGAGAUCUGGAGGAAUACCGGUGGCGAAGGCGGCCCCCUGGACGAAGACUGACGCUCAGGUGCGAAAGCGUGGGGAGCAAACAGGAUUAGA
RNAcentral lists this ribosomal RNA (758 nucleotides) under bacterium UASWS0127. RNAcentral describes it as "bacterial SSU rRNA". It matches the Rfam family "Bacterial small subunit ribosomal RNA", at positions 38 to 782 of the family's 1533-position model. The record is from RNAcentral.